CAGCCGCCGCGGUAAUACCGGCGGCCCGAGUGGCGGCCACUAUUAUUGGGCUUAAAGCGUCCGUAGCCGGGUUGGUUAGUCUCCCGGGAAAUCUGGCCGCUUAACGGUCAGAAUUCCGGGAGAUACUGCCAGCCUAGGGACCGGGAGAGGCCGAGGGUAUUCCCGGAGUAGGGGUGAAAUCCUAUAAUCCCGGGAGGACCACCUGUGGCGAAGGCGCUCGGCUGGAACGGGUCCGACGGUGAGGGACGAAGGCCAGGGGAGCAAACCGGAUUAGAUGCCCGGGUAGUCCUGGCUGUAAACGAUGCGGGCUAGGUGUCGGGUGAGCUUCGAGCUCGCCCGGUGCCGUAGGGAAGCCGUUAAGCCCGCCGCCUGGGGAGUACGGCCGCAAGGCUGAAACUUAAAGGAAUUGGCGGG
Molecule: ribosomal RNA, 414 nt
Filed under: uncultured microorganism
Description: bacterial SSU rRNA
Rfam family: Archaeal small subunit ribosomal RNA
Source: RNAcentral